This 495-nucleotide ribosomal RNA is filed under the name uncultured bacterium. Its description in RNAcentral is "partial 16S ribosomal RNA". It matches the Rfam family "Bacterial small subunit ribosomal RNA", at positions 28 to 507 of the family's 1533-position model. The record is from RNAcentral.
GACGAACGCUGGCGGCGUGCCUAAUACAUGCAAGUAGAACGCUGAAGGAGGAGCUUGCUUCUCUGGAUGAGUUGCGAACGGGUGAGUAACGCGUAGGUAACCUGCCUGGUAGCGGGGGAUAACUAUUGGAAACGAUAGCUAAUACCGCAUAAGAGUAGAUGUUGCAUGACAUUUGCUUAAAAGGUGCAAUUGCAUCACUACCAGAUGGACCUGCGUUGUAUUAGCUAGUUGGUGGGGUAACGGCUCACCAAGGCGACGAUACAUAGCCGACCUGAGAGGGUGAUCGGCCACACUGGGACUGAGACACGGCCCAGACUCCUACGGGAGGCAGCAGUAGGGAAUCUUCGGCAAUGGACGGAAGUCUGACCGAGCAACGCCGCGGGAGUGAAGAAGGUUGUCGGAUCGUAAAGCUCUGUUGUAAGAGAAGAACGAGUGUGAGAGUGGAAAGUUCACACUGUGACGGUAGCUUACCAGAAAGGGACGGCUAACUACGUG